RNAcentral lists this ribosomal RNA (501 nucleotides) under uncultured bacterium. RNAcentral describes it as "bacterial SSU rRNA". It matches the Rfam family "Bacterial small subunit ribosomal RNA", at positions 8 to 507 of the family's 1533-position model. The record is from RNAcentral.
AGAGUUUGAUCCUGGCUCAGAUUGAACGCUGCGGAAUGCUUUACACAUGCAAGUCGAACGGCAGCACGGGGCAACCUGGUGGCGAGUGGCGAACGGGUGAGUAAUACAUCGGAACGUGCCCAAUCGUGGGGGAUAACGUAGCGAAAGUUACGCUAAUACCGCAUACGAUCUACGGAUGAAAGCGGGGGAUCGCAAGACCUCGCGCGAAUGGAGCGGCCGAUGUCAGAUUAGGUAGUUGGUGGGGUAAAGGCUCACCAAGCCAACGAUCUGUAGCUGGUCUGAGAGGACGACCAGCCACACUGGAACUGAGACACGGUCCAGACUCCUACGGGAGGCAGCAGUGGGGAAUUUUGGACAAUGGGCGCAAGCCUGAUCCAGCCAUUCCGCGUGCAGGAUGAAGGCCUUCGGGUUGUAAACUGCUUUUGUACGGAACGAAAAGGUCCUGGUUAAUACCUGGGGCUCAUGACGGUACCGUAAGAAUAAGCACCGGCUAACUACGUG